RNAcentral lists this ribosomal RNA (301 nucleotides) under uncultured bacterium. RNAcentral describes it as "partial 16S ribosomal RNA". It matches the Rfam family "Bacterial small subunit ribosomal RNA", at positions 509 to 807 of the family's 1533-position model. The record is from RNAcentral.
CAGCAGCCGCGGGAAUACGUAGGGUGCGAGCGUUAAUCGGAAUUACUGGGCGUAAAGCGUGUGUAGGCGGUUUGUUAAGUCUGCUGUGAAAUCCCCGGGCUCAACCUGGGAAUGGCAGUGGAUACUGGCAAGCUAGAGUGUGUCAGAGGAUGGUGGAAUUCCCGGUGUAGCGGUGAAAUGCGUAGAGAUCGGGAGGAACAUCAGUGGCGAAGGCGGCCAUCUGGGACAACACUGACGCUGAGGCACGAAAGCGUGGGGAGCAAACAGGAUUAGAUACCCGAGUAGUCCCUGUCUCUUAUAC